Molecule: long non-coding RNA, 661 nt
Organism: Betta splendens (Siamese fighting fish)
Lineage: Eukaryota; Metazoa; Chordata; Actinopteri; Anabantiformes; Osphronemidae
Exons: 4
Source: RefSeq, a predicted model, not a curated record
UCGCAGGAAUUCCCAACAUGGCGAGAAAGGGCUGUGGGAGAGCUUUCAUCGACUGUGACGAGCAGCGCUGCUAAUGCCGCAUGGGGAAUGUUCCUAGAAGGCAAUCACACAGGCCAGCUCAUUAUUGACGGUGUCCAGUUGAAGUGGAUGUGAUAGGGUGACCUUUCCCUCCAACCUUGUUAUCGAUGCGGACUCGUUAAGCAGGACUGUUUAAUUAGCAGUGGAAUUGCAAUCGGGGAGGAGCCGGAGACCUCUGUGGCCGUAGACAUGGAUCAAUGGUCUUCAGGGAGCCUUUGCACUCGGCAACAGGGGAACCUCGCAUGUGUUCGCAACGCCGAUCUGGGGAGCCAGCGUCAAUUGGCUUUGCGCAAAGCCAGGGUCCAUUUCCUAAAAGGCUUUCAGGAUGAUUCCUCCACGCGAGCCAGGAUAAGCUGAGACAAUCCGAUGGCAGCUCCAGCAGCCCCACCUCCAAACCCGCUGGAAACCGCUUUGGGGCGGCACAGGACGCUUUGAUUCUCCUCCUGCGAUCGCCCCCUCUCCUCCCCUCGUCCACGGGGCCCUUGGCCUGGCAGCUGAUCCUCCCUUCACAUUUGGCCUGUGCCGAGGCCGCCCGCCAUCACCAUCAAAGCGUAGGCUGCCUCCCAACUGUUAGCACCCCGCU